UCCAACUCCGAGGUUCAAGCAAGCUUUCCACAUUUCGCGGUGCUUUCUCCAUUCCCGCCCCUAUUCCGUUUACGUCCUCUGAUUUUGGCGGCGUUUCUUGUGCCGUGCUCCCAUGGAACCAGAAGGUUCUCCUGGAAACUCUGGUGAAAAUCCUUGAAUUAUUUACAAAUUUCUGAUAGGUAUUUCUACCAUAUGACAUCGAGGUGGUUUGAUGAAAUUUACAGACUUGCAACUUGAAGAUUUGGCGGGAAUCUUAACAAAAUCUAUGGUAUUGCUGGUGGUAUAAAGUUGAUGUUGAGUAUGGUUUCUGAAAUAACAAUUACAUAAUCAAGGAAUGGUAUAAGAGGAUUUAACACCCAAUUUUCUAGAGAUCCAGAUGCACAACUGCAUGGCUUCGCAUUGCUCAACAUGGGCUAGAGAGCUGUCUGCGAUCAGACGUUGGCCAGAACCUGUUUUCUGGACGGCUGGCCUCUAUUACAAUACAGUACAGUACAGUACAGCGAAGCCUGGCUAUGCAUGAAAUGCCUGCAAGGGACAAAAAGCAUGAGAAACAGUUACGACUUUCAAAAGGAUUGAAGAAAAGUCUGGAAACGGAAGCAGAGGAGGGUUAAAAGGUGUACGGAAGAGUUUUUGGUAGCAUCAUAAUCCCACUUUCGACAAUGACAAUAUAAGCAUGUUUGAGAAAGUCGAGAAUCUAAAGACUAUAAUUGACUCGAGAACA
Molecule: long non-coding RNA, 721 nt
Organism: Cucurbita maxima (winter squash)
Lineage: Eukaryota; Viridiplantae; Streptophyta; Magnoliopsida; Cucurbitales; Cucurbitaceae
Exons: 6
Source: RefSeq, a predicted model, not a curated record